UUUUAUUUGAGAGUUUGAUCCUGGCUCAGGAUGAACGCUGGCGGCGUGCCUAACACAUGCAAGUUGAGCGAUUUACUUCGGUAAAGAGCGGCGGACGGGUGAGUAACGCGUGGGUAACCUACCCUGUACACACGGAUAACAUACCGAAAGGUAUGCUAAUACGGGAUAAUAUAUUUGAGAGGCAUCUCUUGAAUAUCAAAGGUGAGCCAGUACAGGAUGGACCCGCGUCUGAUUAGCUAGUUGGUAAGGUAACGGCUUACCAAGGCGACGAUCAGUAGCCGACCUGAGAGGGUGAUCGGCCACAUUGGAACUGAGACACGGUCCAAACUCCUACGGGAGGCAGCAGUGGGGAAUAUUGCACAAUGGGCGAAAGCCUGAUGCAGCA
RNAcentral lists this ribosomal RNA (385 nucleotides) under Clostridioides difficile. RNAcentral describes it as "bacterial SSU rRNA". It matches the Rfam family "Bacterial small subunit ribosomal RNA", at positions 1 to 393 of the family's 1533-position model. Lineage: Bacteria; Bacillati; Bacillota; Clostridia; Peptostreptococcales; Peptostreptococcaceae. The record is from RNAcentral.